Long non-coding RNA from Scleropages formosus (Asian bonytongue), 249 nucleotides. RefSeq lists it as uncharacterized. The transcript is spliced from 3 exons. The record is from RefSeq and is a predicted model, not a curated record. Lineage: Eukaryota; Metazoa; Chordata; Actinopteri; Osteoglossiformes; Osteoglossidae.
GGAGGGUGUAGGAAAGAAAGUACAAACAAAGAAAGUUGCAUAUCCUGCAGCCUCUCCAGAACCAUCUUUUACUCCAGUUGUUAGCAUCCUUGGUGAAGUGGAGACUAUUGAAGAGCCAACAGACCGAUCACAGAAAGCACCAUCUCCUGAAAUUGCUCCCAUACCACCAUACGUGUCAGUUCCCAAAGAAGAUGAUGAGGUGCCCCAGGAUGUGCCAUCUAGCCCUAUUUUGGUCAGAGUUCCUUCCCC